This 250-nucleotide ribosomal RNA is filed under the name uncultured bacterium. Its description in RNAcentral is "partial 16S ribosomal RNA". It matches the Rfam family "Bacterial small subunit ribosomal RNA", at positions 86 to 339 of the family's 1533-position model. The record is from RNAcentral.
GCAAGUAGAGUGGCGAACGGGUGAGUAAUGCAUCGGAACAUAUCCAGUAGCGGGGGAUAACCUGUCGAAAGAUAGGCUAAUACCGCAUACGACCUACGGGUGAAAGCGGAGGACCGCAAGGCUUCGCACUAUUGGAGCGGCCGAUAUCGGAUUAGCUAGUUGGUGGGGUAAAGGCCUACCAAGGCGACGAUCUAUAGCUGGUCUGAGAGGAAGAUCAGCCACACUGGGACUGAGACACGGCCCAGACUCC